Molecule: long non-coding RNA, 406 nt
Filed under: Ananas comosus (pineapple)
Lineage: Eukaryota; Viridiplantae; Streptophyta; Magnoliopsida; Poales; Bromeliaceae
Description: long non-coding RNA (ACOM_LNC036759)
Source: RNAcentral
AGAGAGCAAGAGAGAAAGAGAGUGAGAGGGAGUGAAAUGAGAGAGUGUGAGGGAGAGAGGGGGCUCAGCCCAUCUCUAAUAAGGCUAUUUUGCACUUAAACCCCUCAACUUUUCAUCCAUUGCACAGCCCUUACUGGGCAGUUUUCGCCCAGAGGGACCGGUCUCCCCGACAAGGGACCGGUCCCCGAGAGCAGCCCACGCUGCCAGGGGCCUCUUUCGCAUUCGGGAACCGGUCCUCACCUGAGGGACCGGUCCCUGGGAGACCGGUCUCUCCUGAGAGACCGGUUCCCGAAAGGGGAACCUUCAGGACUUAGCCAAAUUUAGGCUUUCUCUCGCGGGCGUCGCUCACGGGGACCGGUUCCCUCAGCCAGGGACCGGUCGCAUUGACCUCCCCCGCGACCAUCGG